RNAcentral lists this long non-coding RNA (41811 nucleotides) under Triticum aestivum (bread wheat). RNAcentral's name for it is "long non-coding RNA (TAES_LNC006095)". The record is from RNAcentral. Lineage: Eukaryota; Viridiplantae; Streptophyta; Magnoliopsida; Poales; Poaceae.
AAAGUUACAGCCACGGUCAGAAGGCGCCAAUCAGAAAUAUUUGCACACACACAGCCAUAGCUCAUACGGGUGCACUUUACGCUAGUGGAGCAGUAUUAGUUACUCUGAAUUGAUAGCCAAUGGACGCUGGACCUUACGCCGCCCGUUGAUUGGCUCGCCGGGGCUAUAAACACCAGGCUGCGGUGUCCAUGGGAAGCACUCAGCCGGCCAUCCAUCAUCUCUCCCACUGCAUACCAGCACCACAGGUGCGAGCCAUGGCGAGGAGCCGCCACUCUUCCUCCGGUCUCCUAUGCGUCCUCUUCCUCCUCGUCGCUGCCAUGGCAGCGGAGGGUGCAGGGUGCGCGCAGGCGGGACAGCGGAAGUUGCAGCAAGUUCCAGGGCCACAGCCGCUGCCACUACCAAACCCACGCCCACAGCCAGGGCCACAGCCGGUGCCACUACCGAUUCCGAACCCGCAGCCUGGCCCGAACCCACAACCUUUGCCUAACCCACAGCCAUUACCGCAGCCACAGCCGGACCCAAACCCGCAGCCACAGCCAUUGCCGCAGCCUCUUCCACAACCACAACCACUGCCGAACCCAAACCCGCAGCCACAGCCUUUACCACCACAGCCUCUGCCACAACCACUGCCGGGCCCAAACGCGCAACCGCUGCCAUUACCACAGCCCCUGCCACUACCACCGCCGGGCCCAAACGCGCCACCGCUGCCAUUACCGCCGCCUCUGCCCCUACCACCGCCGGGCCCAAACCCACAGCCGCUGCCGCAACCGGAUGCCCCAGGCUCAUAUCCGCAGGUACAACCGUUGCCGGACUCAAACACGCCCGGCCGACAGAAUAACGCACUACAGGGACCACUUGGAAAUGGCGCAGCCCCAGCCUUAUAUUCAUGCGGUGCAACCUACAUACAUAUAUUCUCCAUGGGUUUAUUAUUGUACUAUUUUGUUUAGAUAAAGUGACGCUUGUUCAUGUAAAUAGAUUUACUAUUUCUCUAGACUACAUAAAAAUAAUGUAUCGAUUGGGCAUGAUAUCUCUGUAUUGACAUUUAUACUAGUAUAUUAUUUGUAAUAAAUUUUUAUAUGGUUGUACAAGUAGUUUGUGUACUUAGAAAAAGCAGAACCAUUUGUGUAUGCAUUUGAUACACAUGUCGUUCUGGUAUUUUUAGUUAUAUCUCUGAUCUGACCAACUUGCGAAUGGUUGCACACCUUACCCUACACUCCACGUUCAGAAUCGUAAGGUGUGCCUGCGUUUUGAAUUUGUCUUCAAUCCACUAUUUUGUUAAAAAUAUAUAUUUCGAUUCCAUGGUGCAAAAUUGAUAUCAUUGUACCUGUAUGAAAAGUUGAAAACCACUUGAUAGUGAUAUCAUCAAUUUUUUGUCAAGACUUUAAGGGAUGGGAUGGGGAGAGGGAUUGACCGCCUACCAUGAAGUCCGUUCUUAUGUAUGUCACGAUCCUGGAGUGUUUGACCGACGCAACAAAAAUCUCCCACUGAAUUUUUUGCUGCAUUUUCCUCCACGGACUGAAAAAAAUGGUGCAAGAACAUGGCAAUAUUUUGAACACACGAAUGCAACAAAAAUAUAACGUAUGUAUCAAAUCAUUGGAAAGUAUUCGCAACAUAUACAAGUAAACCAUAAAACCAACGUAUAAAACAUAACAUGGCCAUAUAUUAUUGAUUGUGGUUGUUCAUAACGAGGUUAUGUUUAGAAAGUUGAAGUAUCCUUGGGAAAUCUACGGAAGGAGAAUGCGCAGAAGGUCAUUAAAGAACACAAAUAUUUGUUGUAUUCUCUCUAUAUGACACUAAUUAUUGUAUAGUGGUAUGAAUUUUAGAAGAGAGUGUUUAUUUCUCAAGGAGGAGGGUGAUGAUCUUGGACGUUUGAUAUAAAGGUCUAUUGACCAACUGCAUAUUUCAAUAUUAAGUGUAACUUAAGAUUUAGAUAUAUACAUAAUUGGUCAGUUGCACAUUUGUUGAAUGGCAAAUAAUAAUUUCUUAAGCUGGCAUGGAAAGUCAAGUUUUUUAUUAGAUAUAUGCAACACAUGAAAAGGGUACGAAAUUUGGAGGAUAGAAAUCAUAUAGAUUUUUUUUUCUUUGGUGCUGUUUGGAACAAAGGAUUGGUCCAUCAUGGAUUUAUUUGAAAAUCCUAGACUAGUCGAAAGAAAUUUAGGGGAAAUCAAACAUGAGGUGCCAUCUCAUUUUUAAUUGUUUUUACAUCUAGAUAGAAUUCAUAUGUUCUCUUCUCUUCAUGUUCAGAAUUCCUAUGUUUUUUCUACUCGACAUCGAAAUAAUAAUCUUCAAGUUUUCAUAUUUUCAUGUUUUCCACGUCGUUUUGGUUUAUACUGGGAUUGGGAUAUGAUCUCGGAUACAUGACAUUUUAAUUCUGACAUUUUCCCGAUUUCCACAUUAAGAAUUUGCGAAUGUGAAAUGGGGUUGUAGUUGUUAAACAAAGGAAGUGGUCUGGAAAGAGAAUUUGAGAGGCGGGAGACAAGCAAUUCAUAUUGUUUCAUACUAUCAACAUUGUCCAUUCUAAACCGGACAAUACGACAAUCAGAGGCAAAAACAUUAGCACAAUAUAAUCCUUACUCUAUCUGUAUAUAUGGUACUAAACUCAGCGUCCCCAUCAGUUUUGGAGCUCCGGCUCCAUGGAGCCUUUUUUGGAUUUUUUUUUUUUUGAAAACUCUAGGUGAAUAUAAUGGUUAGCCAAUGCAUGUAGCCCUAGCAGUUAAAAUUAUACCUGCAUUACUAAAACACACGCAUGCAUAUGACUGGAGAAGGAGGGGCAUGCAACGUCAUGAUAGGUUAGCUUGUCGGGGAGUUACAAGAUUUAAUAAUUUCAGACAAUAAGCAUGAUAAAAUCCUCAUUGGUAUCUACAGUUUUGAAACUGUGCCCAGUAUACCCAGACAAAGGGAGUGCUUGAGAAAACAUGAGUCCGCGAAAACUCGGCUGACGAAGCAUGCGACAGAGCCUUGAGGUGGUGAAGCUCACGCACGAGGUGGCUGCACGAUUGGGCCAGUUCCUUCCCGGAGACCUUUCCUUUGCAUUGUGAAUUGAAACUGAAGCGAUUGCUUUUUUACUUUGUAAAUUGCACUAACGUGUACACGGUUUAUCUUGAUUUCUAAAUGAUGGCCGGUCACAUAUACGUGUGAGCACGGGAUUGACAAAGCAACCAACAGAAUUCUAUUACUACGGGGAGGCAACUAAUAGAGUAAAAAUAUUGUUACUCGCCCUACUAUCAUCACAUAGAGACACACACACAAAAUCCAGCGCUGUGCUUAUUAACAGCUCCUGUUAGGUAGGUUCUAGGUUGCUGCAUUUGUAAUCAACCAACAUAACUCCAUUGCCAUGUUACACAGUACUUGUCACUCCAGCUAAGCUAGCUGCGAUGUUUAUUAAUGCAGCCUCCAAAUCUGGUUUGUUUCGCCCACCCUAUAAAACCACACAAUAUGUACCUCCAGUUCUCCACACAACACACACAAAGCACACACACACAAAGCACAGCAGGUGCAACACUAGCUGCAAGCACAAGAAGUAGGCAGCAAUGGCGAGGCAUCGCCUCCUCGCCGUGCUCCUCAUCGGAAUAGUUGCAGCCUCCGCCUUCAACCAAGCAGCUGCGGCUGGCCGAGGCCUUGCUGCCGUCGAGAAGUUUGCAGAGCUAGAGCCAAAGCCAGAACCCAAACCAGAGCCAAUGGCCAAACCUAUGCCGCCGCACCCAGAGCCAGAGCCUUGCAAACCUGAACCGAUGCCCAAACCCAAACCAAAGCCCGAACCAAAACCCGGACAGAAGCCCGAUCCAGAACCCAAGCCCAAGCCUAUGCCAAAACCAAAGCACAAGCAUUGCUCCAAACCAAAGCCAGGUCCUAAGCCCGAGCCAAUGCCGAAACCCGAACCAAAGCCGGAGCCCGAGCCUAAACCUGAAUCAAAACCGAAGCCUCCUCCUAAGUGCAAGCCACCGACAGCUCACAAUUGAUGGGAUACUUAUAUAUGACAGUUGAUGGAGGAGACCCCAUACGGAGCCACACUAUGCUAUUUCUAGAAUAAGUGGUGUAGUAUUUCUUGUAUUCCAUCUAUUUCUAUUGUUCCAUGCAUGUGUGAUGAGUAUUAGUACUCUGUAAUUUCUUUUUUGCUUGUUGGUAUAUGUUCAUCUACUUUGUAUGUGACUCGACUCGUUGUUCUUUUGAGUAUCUACGCAUGAUUGUAUUCAUUCACAUGAAUGAACUAUUUUGUCAGUGAACUGCAGUCUAUGUUGUCUUCUCUAUGGUGUGCAGUCUCAGUUAUUUUCUCUAUGGGAUUGUUUUUCAUAUUAUGUGGUCUUUUUGGGGGGGAAAGAUGAUGUCAACAAAAAGGAAGAGAAGGAUUCCCCAAAUAGCAGCACAUAUAUCACAUAUGAAGUGUAUAGUGUGCGUGUGCGUGUCUAGUGUUCUAGAUGUAUAAAGUGUACUCACACGCCAAACAGCGGCCUUUGUUCUCUACCCUUCACCUAUGAACUAAGUCCCGACCGAGUGCAUUAGUAUUUAUGCCCAGGCUCCGUGAGUGAGCUGGCUCUGCUGCUGGUUAUACUAGGUAAACGUCACACACAUUGCUACGGAAAUUUAUAGCAAUGAAAUUAUGAAAAAUAGCAUCUAUGGGAAUAAUACCACACAACAUUCGCACAUAUGACGAUAGAAAACCUAGAUGUAACUGGAGGUGGAUGCAUGUUAUAUUGUCUUGUGACCUUCAAGUUUAAUUAUUUUUUGCUGAAAUAUAAAUAGUAAAUAUAAUGUGGCGAAGAGCUUUCAUGUCUUUUGAUGAUGUGGAGGACUUGCAUAUGAUGGAAAGUGAAAAUUUGAGUGAUUACAUGCACGCUUGAUGAUAUGGAGGACUUACGUGUGUUGAAAAGUGGUUAGUGAAAGUUGAUUGGUUGCAUGCCCUUCAUAAUGUGAUUGACAUGCAUGUGCAAUUAAAUGGGAUGAAUUACUUAGAUAUAUAGCAUAUGUGUGAAAGGUAGCUACACCCCCUAGGUCAAGAUUGCCAAUAAAAGGCACCAUGAAAAUUAUUAUUAACACAUUUUCUCUUACUCAAUUCGCAACAAGAAAAAUCUCAUAGUGAUGGUGCUAGGCAACAUACGAGAGACCAUAAUAAUCUCUCACCGCCCCAUGGUACUGGCAGGGCCUGCCCUAUGAUUUUGAAAGCCCUUGGGUGAAGUUGGCGAAUUGAUUGUCUUUCGUUUCAGCACCCGACAAAUCCUUUUUAAGCAACAUUAGAGUAACCCUAAAACUGAAGAGGAAAGUAAAUACAUAAAAUAGAAUUUUAGAUAUUAGAGCCCUAACAUUUAACAUGCUUCAACGAAUGGGUGGCACUAGUAAUAUGGUUAUGGGUGUGUGGAAUGAGAGGCCUGGAGAAUGACAUGCUGGUGCCUCGGUGUCAUAGACAUCUGAGGAGGCGGCGAGACUCACGUCGUCAAGCUUACCCGUGAAGACGAAGAUUGCGAAUUGCAAUUAGGAGAACUGGUGAUGCCAUAAGAAAAUGUUCAUCACGCAUUUGUAAAAUGUUUUCAAAAUAUCAAACAUUUUGCAAAUACACAUAGAACUAAAAAGUGUUCAUAUUUUUCCAAAAAUACAGUGUGAACAUUUUGAACAAUACAGAAUGAAGAUUUCUUUUAAUACAUGAUGAACCAUUGAAAUAACAAUAUUUUCUGAAAAUACAAAAUGAUUUUUUUAAAUCCAUGAUAAUUUUUAACUACACAGUAAAUAUUUUGUUCACGCACGAUGAACAUUUUGUAGAAACAUGAGUGAACAAUGUCUGACGCCGGUGAGGGAGGGGCGAUGAUGGUGGUGCACUUUCGGCUUGAUCGAGUGAUUUUAGACAUCGCUGGGUGGUCUAUGGACCUGUAUGUAUAUUCUAUUUCUUCUGGUAAUCUUAUACUGACAUGUCAGUUCAUAAAUAGAUCCGAAUUUUUUUCGUAAAAAAAUAAGAAAAAUGUUCAACUUGUCUUAGUAAUUGUUCCUGAGAUUUAAAAAAAAAUAUUCGCAUUGUUUCAAAAAAACAUUACAUUUCAAUUUUUUCACAUGUUUAGAAAAUUGUUCAUGGCAAUAUUAAAAACGUUCAGGAAAUAUAAAAAAAAGUUGUAUUACAGUUUAUAAUAAUGUUCGUGGUAUAUAAAAAUUGUUCAUGAUGUUUAGAAAACGUCCAAACAUGUAUUGGAAAAAUAUUCUAUGUGUAAUUAAAAAAUGUUUAAUAUUUUGAAAACAAUCAACAUGUAUUUGAAAUAUGCAAAAUGAAAAAAAACUUGAAAGAAAAUGAACAGAAAAGUAAAAGGGAAAAAAUGAAAAUGAAAACCUAAACAAACCUGAUAAAGAAAACAGAUAAAACAAUCCAAAUAAAACAUUCUGAAAAUCGCAUGAAACAAACCAAUGCUACACCGCCUCCACUGCUACUGGGCCAGAGCCCGCACCGCAUCGCCAAAGGUGAGCGCCUCGCAGUACCUAGAGACAUAGCAUUUGCGCAAAAUGACCGCACUACGUAGAGACAUAGCAUUUGCGCAAAAUGACCGCACGCAUUGAACCAACUGUUGGCUGGCUAGUUAUUAGAAUGACAUGUAACUUUAUUCAAACUCAACAAAAUUAUAGGUACAAUGCCAAAAUAUGAUACAAGAAAUUGCAAAAUAACUCAUAUAACUAGGAAUUACAACGAAACCCUCUUGAGUCAAAAUAUGAUAAACAGAGGAAAAAACAUUGUAGCUCAUAUAAUCCUUACUCUUUUCGAAUAUAGGGCGGUGCUAAACUCGGGAACCCCAUUCGUUUUGGAGCUCCGGCUCCAUGGAGCCUUUUUUGGAAAAGCAUACAUGCAUAACUAAAACACACGCAUGCAUGAGACUGGAGACUGAGGGGCAUGCAACAUCAAAAUAGGUUAGUUUGUCGGAGAGUUAUAAAGAUUUAAUAAUUUUGAGACGAUGCGCAUGAUAAAAUCCUCAUUGGUAUAUACAAUUUUGAAACUGUGCCGAGUAUACGGGGCCAGCGAGAGUGCUUGAGAAAACACGAGUCCGCGAAAACUCGGUCCACGAAAGCAUACCACGGAGCCUUAGGGCUUCCAACAGGUGGUGACGCUCACGCACGAGGUGCACGGUCCGGCCAGUUCCUUUCCAGAGACCUUUGCUUUCCAUUGUGAAUUGAACUGAAGCAUUUGCUUUGUACUACUUUGUAUUGCAUUGCACAAACGUGUACACUGUCUAUCUUAAUUUCUAAAUGAUGGCCGGUCACAUGUACGUGUGAGCACGGGAUUGACAAGGCAACUAACAGAAUUCUAUUACUACGAGGAGGCAACUAAUAGAGUAAAAAUAUUGCCACUCACCCUUAGCUACUAUCAUCACAGAGACACACACGCAAAUCCAGCUGUGCUAUUAACACCUCUAGCUACCUCCGUAGGUCGCUUCAUUUGCAAUCAACUAAUCAACCAAUAUAACUCCAUUGACAUGUUACCCAGUACUACUUGUCACUCCAGCUACCUAGCUGCAAUUCUAAUUAAUGCAGCUUCCAGAUCUGCUUUGUUUCACCGGGCCUAUAAAACUACACAAUCUGUAUCUCCAGCUCUCCACACAACACACACGCGCGCACACACAAAGCGCAGCAGGUUCAACACUAGCUACAAUCACAAGUAGGCAGCAAUGGCGAGGCAUCGCCUCCUCGCCGUGCUCCUCGUCGGCACAGUUGCAGCCUCCGCCUUCAACCAAGCUGCUGCGGCUGGCCGAGGCAUUGCUGUCGUCAGGAAGUUUGCAGAGCUAGAGCCAAAGCCAGAACCGAAACAAGAGCUAAUGCCCAAACCUAUGCCACCCCCAGAGCCAGAGCCCUGCAAACCUGAUCCGAUGCCCAAACCCAAACCAAAGCCCGAACAAAAACCCGGACAAAAGCCCGAACCAGAACCCAAGCCCAAGCCUAUGCCAAAACCAAAGCCCAAGCCCUGCUCCAAACCAAAGCCAGGUCCUAAGCCCGAGCCAAUGCCCAAACCCGAACCAAAGCCGGAGCCCAAGCCUAAACCUGAACCGAAACCGAAGCCGCCUCCGAAGUGCAAACCACCGACAACUCACAAUUGAUGGGAUACUGUAUAUGAGAGUUGAUGGAGGAGACCCCGUACGGAGCCACACUAUGCUAUUUCUAGAAUAAGUGGUGUAGUAUUCCCUGUAUUCCAUUUCUUUCUAUUUUUCCAUGCGCCCGUGAUGACUACUAGUACUCUGUAUUUGUUUUUGCUUGUUGGUAUACGUUCAUCUACUUUGUAUGUGACUCGACUCGUUCUUUUGAGUAUCUAUGCAUGAUUGUAUUCAUUCACAUGAAUUAGCUAUUUUGUUAGUGGACUGCAGUCCAUGUUGUUGUUUUCUAUGGGUUGCAAUCUCAGUUAUUNNNNNNNNNNNNNNNNNNNNNNNNNNNNNNNNNNNNNNNNNNNNNNNNNNNNNNNNNNNNNNNNNNNNNNNNNNNNNNNNNNNNNNNNNNNNNNNNNNNNNNNNNNNNNNNNNNNNNNNNNNNNNNNNNNNNNNNNNNNNNNNNNNNNNNNNNNNNNNNNNNNNNNNNNNNNNNNNNNNNNNNNNNNNNNNNNNNNNNNNNNNNNNNNNNNNNNNNNNNNNNNNNNNNNNNNNNNNNNNNNNNNNNNNNNNNNNNNNNNNNNNNNNNNNNNNNNNNNNNNNNNNNNNNNNNNNNNNNGUCAACAAAAACGAAGAGACGGACUCCCUAAAUUGCAGCACACAUAUGAAAUGUAUAUAGUAUGUGUGUACGUGUCUGGUGUUUUAUUGGAUAGCUUAGAUACAAUCUAUUGAAGUAGUUGUAUGAUAGCUUGUUGGUAGAUGACAUGGACAUUUUACCAACAAGACUAACAUACAAUCUAUUGAAGAUGCCCUUAGACUGCUCACAGUGAGGAGUAACAUAGAGUAGCAACUUACCGAUGUUACUAGUCUAUGUUACUACCUCCAUAGUGGGUAGUAACAUAUGAGUGGUAUCAUGAAAGAGUUCAUUUAUUAGGCUAUAGACUCAUUAUGCCUUGAAAUGUGUGAUGUUAUAGUAACUAUCUAAGUUACCACAAAUCCCUCUCUCUUUAUUAAUUAGCUGCCACAUAAGCAAUCUUGUAUUGAAAUGUGUGAUGUUACUAGUUAAGUUACUCCCAUUGUGACUAGUCUUAGGUACUCCCUCCGUCCGGGUGUACAAGUCAUUCGCGUAGUUCUAGGUCAUCGAUUUGAGGAAUUAAAUAUGUGUUAUAUGUCAUGAAAAGUAUACCACUAGAUUUCCACACGGAUGUAGUUUCUAAAUAUAUAUUUUUUGUCACAUAUAAUACAUAUUUAGAUAGUUAAAUUAUCGACCUAGAACUACGCGAAUGACUUAUACACCGGGACGGAGGUAGUAGUAACUUAACACAUUCCUAGAUAAUUUUGCCUAUGUGGCACGUAUUUAAUGAUGAAAGAGGUGCUUGUAGUAACAUAAUAUGUUGCCGUAACAUAGCGCUUUCUGAGGCAACAUGAGUCUGUGAGCUAAUAAAUGAAGCCAUCUAUGACACUACUACUAUGUUACUUUGCAAUAUGGAGGUAGUAACUUAGACUAGUGUCAUAUGCAUGACACUAGUAUAAGUUACUCCCCACUAUGACCAGCCAUACUAGGUAAACGUCACAUACAUUGCUACGGAAAUUUAUAGCAAUGAAAUUAUAAAAAAUACCAUAUAUGUGAAUAAUACCACACAACAUUCUCAACAUAUGACAAUAUAAAACCUAGAUGUAACUGGAGGGUGGAUGCAUGUUAUAUUGUCUUGUGACCUUCAAGUUUAACUAUUUGUUGUUGAAAGAUAAUAAAUAGUAAAAAAUAAUGAGGUGAAGAGCUUGCGUGUGUCUGAUUAUGUGGAGGGCUUGCAUAUGAUGGAAAGUGAAAAAUCGAAUGAUUACAUGCACCCUUAAUGAUGUGGAAGACUUGCAUGUGAUGAAAAAUGGUAAGUGAAAGUUGAUUGGUCGCAUGUCCUUCAUGAUGUGGUUAAUUUGCAUGUGCAUUUAAAUGGGAUGGCUUAAUUAGAUAUAUAGGAUAUGUGUGUGAAAGGUAACUGCACCCCCUGGUCAAAUUAGUGGCGGAGCUACCCAAAAAUUGCAACACAUUUCUCUCUCUCAAGGCUGGGCCGGCUAUGGCCUAUCUGGCCUUGCUGUAGCUCCAACAAUGAUCAAGACUAUCAAGAAAAGGUACCAUGAAAAUUAUAAUAACAGAUUUUCUCUGACUCAAUUUACAAUAGGAAAAAUCUCUCAUUGAUAGUGCUGCGCAACAUACGAGAGACCACAAUAAUCUCUCACCCAUCCCAUGGUGCUGGCAAGGUCAACAUUUCAAGAUGGUAUGUUGGCUCAGUCUUUCAGACGUGCUCAUAGGGGUAGGGUGUGCGUGUGUGCGUUCAUAGGGGUGAGUGUAUGCGCGCGUAUAUGAGCGCUUGUGUUUGUACUGUGUUCAAAAAUAAUAAUUUUGAGAGCCCUAGUGUGAAAUUGGCAAAUUGAUAGUCUUGUUUUUUCUUUUAUUGCGCAUGAAAACUCCUUUUAAGCAACAUUAUAGUAACCCUAAAACUGACAAGGAAAGUAAAUAAAGUACAUAAGUAGAAUUUUAGAAAUCAGAGCACUAACAUUUAACAUGCUUGGAUGAACGGGUGACUUUCGUAAUAUGGCUAUGGGUACGAGGAAUGAAAGGCCUAGAGAGUGACAAGCUCAUGCUUCACUAUCACAGACGUCUGAGGAGGCGGCGAGACGCUCAUGUCGUCAAGCUACGAGACAAACCUGUGAAGAUGAAGAUCACGAAUUACAAUUAGGAGAACUGGUGAUGCCAUGUGUCUGUGUCGCACACCGAUUAUGAUUCUUUUCCUUUUUAUGGACCAGUUCAACCAACGGCUAAAGGCCUAAAGCUCGCUUCUUGGAGAACGUGUAUACCUCAAUUUUAGGAGAGCUUCUUCUCAGUGCUCAUUAGUGCUGCAGCGCACAAGAGCUCGCGCGCAUGGGUCAUUGCAUUAAAAGGCAAAGCGGUUGCUCGAUUGGCCACCCACUACACUCUUUUUUUGCAAGCCUUUUUUUUUCUGGGAUUGCUCUGUUAUUCAAUGAAAAAUAUCCCACCGGUUUUCUAAAUUUAAAAAUUCAUGAAUAUGAAAAUUUUCAAAAAUUUGAAAAACAAUUACAGUUUGAAGAGAAUGAAUUGAAAAACGUUGACAGUUUUGAAAAAAUCACAAAUUCAUUUUUUGUGAAUUUGAAAAAGGUGAUUCAAAAAAGUUUAUGAAAUUUGAAAAAAAUUCUCAUGAAUAUGAAAAAAUGGUCACAAAUUUGAAAAGAAAUGUUAGAGAAGUUUAAAUUUAAAAUAAUCAGAAAAAGAGGAAAAAGGCAGAAGAGUAAAAAAGAAAAAACAGGACGAAAGUUUCCAUAACCAAAGUUGGCCCAUAAGCUUCUGGAAGCUUCCUAAAACCGACAGGAGGGAGCUUCCGCUCAUGUAAAUGUCAUAGAUUGGGCAGCCCUUUUACAAUCUAGUGAAUCAAGAGGUGCGUGCGCUUUCUAUCAAUAACUUGGAAACCAAUGGUAAAUAGCAUAUUUCCACUUUUAGCGUUCCGUGGAACGGAAUUCGACCACAGAUCCACAGUAUGGGCUAAUCCCAACAUGUUUUUCUAACAAGCUAGUUUUUUCUAUUGGGGCAGAUGUCUCACUCUAACGAGUAGGAUUUUUUUUGUUCUUAUUUUCACAUUUUUCUUUUUAUUUUUUCUAAUUCUCUAGAAAACGCUCUAUAACAUAUAUGGGUGAUCAUAUAAUUUAAUAAGUGUUCAUGUACUUUAAAAAUGUUCAUCACCUAUUUAUAAAACGUUUUCAAAAUAUGGAACGUUUUUAAAAUACAAAUACAAUUACAAAAAGUGUUCAUAUUUUCUGAAAAUAUACACUAUGAACAUUUUGAACAAUACGGAUGAAAAUUUAUUUUAAUACAUGAUGAACCUUUGAUAUCACAAUAUUUUCUAAAAAUACACAAUGAUUUUUAUAUACACAAUAAAUAUGUUGUUCAUACACGAUGAACAUUUUGUAAAAACAUGAGUGAACAUUGCCCAGCUCAGAUGAGGAAGGGGCGAUGAUUGUAGUACGUCUUCGGCUUGCUCGAGUGAUUGUAGACAUCGCUAGGUGGUCUAUGGACCUGAACAUAAGUUCUAUUACCUCUGGUGUUCUUGUAUUGACAUGAUGGUUGAUAAGUAGAUCGGAUUUUUUCAAUAUUUUUUUAAGAAAAAUGUUCAACUUGUCUUACAAAUUGUUCCGAAGAUUAAGAAAAAUAUAUUCGCAUUUUCUAAAAAGAACAUUGCAUUUCAAUUUUUUCACAUGCUUAGAAAAUUGUUCAUGGCAAUAUUAAAAUAUUUGUGAAAUAUAAAAAUGUGUUAUUACAGUUUUGGAAAAAUGUUUGUGGUAUAUAAAUUUUUUUCAUCAUGUAUUUAUAAAACAAUCAAACUUGUAUUAAAAAAAUAUUCUAUGUGUAUUUUAUUUUUUUUAUUUUUUUUAAUAAUUUCAAUAUGUAUUUGAAAAAUAGAAAAAUGAAAAACAAUACAUGAGACAAUGAACAGGAAAAGUAAAAGAGAAACCAAAAAUGAAAAACCUAAAUAAACCCAAGAAAGAAAACCCUGACAAAAUGUUAUGAGAUCACAAGAAACAAACAAAUGCUACACACCUGCACCACUACUGGGCCACAGCCCACACCGCAUCGCCAGAGGUGAGCGCCAUAGCAUUUGCGCAAAAUGACCGCACGAGACAUAGCAUUUGCGCAAAAUGACCGCACAAAUUGAACAAACUGUCGGCCAGCUAGUUAUUAGAAAGACAUGUAACUUAAUUCAAACUCAACAAAAUUAUAGGUACAAUGCUUUGGAUCAUAGAUACAAGAAAUUAGAAAAUAGCUCAUAUAAGUAAGAAUUACAAUGAAACCCUCUUGAGUCAAAAUAUGUUAAACAGAGGAAAAAAACAUUAGCACAUAUAAUCUUUACUCUAUCCGAAUAUAUGGCGGAGCUAAACUCAGCAACCCCAUUAGUUUUGGAGGUCCGGUUUCAUGGAGCCUCUUUUUUUUUGGAAAAUCAUGCAUUAAUAACUACUAGUAAAUGGCACGUGCCAUGCACGUGUAGAGAUAGUUAUUAACACACAUACAUGUGGGUAAUUUUAAGUAGUAUCAUACUCCCUCCGUCCCAAAAUAUAAGAACGUUUUUAACAGUAGCAUAGUGUCAACAACGUUCUUAUAUUCUGGGACAAAGGGAGUAUUUCACAAAAGAAGUUAAGUAGUAUCAUGAUUUGAACUAAUUAAUUAUUAAUUAUAAAACUUUGCAUGAUUUACUAAAUAUAUAUGUGUAAUACCGAAUUUACACAAUAUAGAAUACCAUAAGAAAAAGGAUACCAGGUUCGUCCUCAAAUUUGUCUUAAUAAAGUUUAAGUUUAACUUCAGUUCAAAACUGCGAUACUUACUAUGGCAGAGGAAAUAUUAGAUUGAGCAACGGAGAGAGUAUUGUUUGCAAGUUAUUUAUCGUUAGAAAUAAAAUAAUAAUUUAAACAUUAAUUCUGUCUGUUUUGCAGAUCAGAGUUUUUUCACAGAAUUAUUGAUAAAAACUAAGAAAACAAGGGUAAUAAAUAUUUGUAAAAUAAAUUUAUAAGAGAAAGUAAAAGCUAUUUAAAUGUACAUAUAUUACAUUUUCACCGUUUGCCACUUUUUUUAAUCUGUUUUAGCUUGUGCGCCUUUACCCAGGCUACACCAUCACAUGCUUUCUCUCUCUCUCUCUCGUCAUGAUGCGUACUUGCUAGUUGCUACUGCUAGUACUUCUCGUGCCACUCUACUCUACACCUGCAUGCAUCACCGGAGUCUGCUGGAAAUGGAAAUUUCUGGAUAGUGGCUUGGCUACAAAGAACGCAAGGAGAGUCACAUGCACAUCCUAGAAAGUACUACUACAUCUGAGAGUGGCAGACUGGCAGCACAGAGAAAUGGCCCAGCGAAUCCCUGCAAUGUAGGCCAUUAGAUUGACAUAUCCAGCGGUUCAUAUGCAGCCACGUAUACCGGUAACACAAGCCAUUUAAUUUGAGCCGUCCAAUUAGGAAGAUCCAACGGUUCAUAUGACUUGCUACUCCUAUACUAUAUAGGAGUAUAGAAAACACACGCGUGCAUGAGACUGGAGAAUGAGGGGCAUGCAACAUCAAAAUAGGUUACUUUGUCGGAAGUUAUAAGAUUUAAUAAUUUGAGACAAUACGCAUAAUAAAAUCCUCACUAGUGCAGUGUCAAAAAUGCUCUUAUAUUGUGGGAUGGAGGAGUACAAUUUUGAAAUUGUGCCCAGUAUACCGGGCCAGAGGGAGAGCUUGAGAAAACACUGAGUCAGCGAAAACUCGGUGUACGAAGCAGACCAUGGAGCCUUGGGGCUUCCUAACAGGUGGUGAAGCUCACGCACGAGGUGGCUGCACGACUGGGCCAGUUCCUUUCCGGAGACCUUUCCUUUCCAUUCAUUGUGAAUUGAACUGAAGCGAUUGCUUUUUACAAACGUGUACACUGUCUAUCUUAAUUUCUAAAUGAUGGCCGGUCACAUGGACGUGUGAGCACGGGAUUGACAGGGAAACUAACAGAAUUCUACUACUACGAGGAGGCAACUGAUAAAGUAAAAAUAUUGCUACUCACCCUACUAUCAUCAGAUGGAGACACACAAACAUAAUCCACUGGACAAGGCAACUAACAUAAUUUCUAUUACCACGAGGUUGCAACUAAUAGAGUAAAAAUAUUGUUACUCACACGUACUAUCAUCACAGAGACACACACGCAGAAUCCAGCUGUGCUUAUUAACACCUCUAGCUACCUACGUACGUAGGUUGCUUCAUUUCUAAUCAACUAAUCAACCAAUAUAACUCCACUGCCAUGUUAUACAGUACUACAGUACUUGUCACUCCAGCUAGGUAACUGCAAUGCUAAUUAAUGCAGCCUCCAGAUCUGCUUUGUUUCACCCAGCCUAUAAAACCACACAAUAUGUACCUCCAGUUCUCACACAACACACACACACACAAAACACUAGCUGCAAGCACAAGAAGUAGGCAGCAAUGGCGAAGCAUCGCCUCCUCGCCGUGCUCCUCAUCGGGAUAGUUGCAGCCUCCUCUUUCAACCAAGCAGCUGCGGCUAGCCGAGGCCUUGUUGUCGUUGGGAAGUUCACAGAGCUAGAGCCAAAGCCGGAACCCAAACCAGAGCCAAUGCCCAAACCUAUGCCCCACCCAGAGUCAGAGCCCUGCAAACCUGAACCGAUGCCCAAACCCGAACCAAAGCCUGGACAGAAGCCUGAACCAGAACCCAAGCCCAAGCCGAUGCCAAAACCAAAGCCCAAGCCCUGCUCCAAAUCGAAGCCUGAGCCGAUGCCAAAACCGGAACCAAAGCCGGAGCCCAAGGCUAAACCUGAACCGAAACCGAAGCCGCCUCCAAAGUGCAAACCACUGGCAACGCACAAUUGAUGGGAUACUUAUAUAUGACACUUGAUGGAGGAGAACCCGUACGGAGCCACACUAUGCUAUUUUUAGAAUAAGUAAUGCAUUAUUCCCUGUAUUCAAUUUCUUUCUAUUGUUUCAUGCACGCGUGAUGAGUAUUAGUACUCUGUAAUUAUUAUUUGCUUGUUGGUAUAUGUUCAUCUACUUUGUAUAUGACCUGACUCAUAGUUCUUUUGAGUAUCAAUGCAUGAUUGUGUUCAUUCGCAUGAAUGAACUAUUUUGUCCAGUGGACUGCUGUCUAUGUUGUUUUCUCUGUGGGGUACAGAAUCUGUUUAUUUUUUCUAUGGGAUUGUUUCAUAUUAUUUGAGGAAUUGGCAGCUUGUACUACCUAUAUAUUAAGAAGGAGAAAAAUAAAUACAAAAGUUGCAUUACAUGGCUGGGUUUUUAGGUAUCCCCCACCAAAAAAGAGGUAAAAUACAUCAAUCAGGUUCAGGUUCCGGUCAGUUCUCGACUCCAAGAGCCAAUGGAUGGAGAGAGCUGGUUGAAGAAUGUCCUGCUUGAUGAGCUGAAGGAUGGCAGACUUUUGUUAGGCCUUGUGAUCGAAGAUGCGUCGAUUUCUUUCCUUCCAAAUGUUCCAGGCAGUGUAGAUUGCUGCAGUUUUAGCCUCUUUGCCUAGACUGGAGGCGAAGUCGUUCCACCAAAGAGCAAUGGAGGUUGCAUGCUAGGCUGGAGGAAUAAGAGAGGGAAUGCCCAGGUCACCGUUCACAAGAAACAAGAUGACUCGGGCAAAGGGGCAUUGGAGAAUAAGGUGCAGAGGGGCUCGUCUUAUUGGUCGCAGAGAUUGCACUUCUCACUGUGACGAAAAUCGUAGAGGUUGAACACUGAGUAAUUUUUAAACACAUGACAAUUUUUAGAAUGAACAGUAAAUAUUUUUUCACAGAAAAUGAACAUUUUGUAAAGACACAAUGAACAUUGCAAAAUGUUCGACCAGUCUUAAACAAUGUUCAUGAGAUUUUACAAAUAUAUUUGCAUUGUUCCGAAGAAUGUUUGUCACAAAUUAUUUUCACAUGUUUAAAAAUAUUCAUGGCAAUAAUAAAAAAAUGUUCAUGAAAUAUUAAAAAUUGUUCAUACAGUUUUUGAAAAAUGCCCGUGGUAUAUAAAAAUGUUCAAACAUGCAUUCCAAAAAUGUGCAAGGUGUAUUUCAAAAAUAGUUACCAUUUAUUUGAAAAGUUCAACGUGUAUUUGAAAAUUUGUUAACUUGCAUUUGAAAUUUUAAUUAAUUAAAAUAAAAUAAAAUAAAAACACAAAAAAUAACAGGAAAAGUAUAAGUAAAAAACUGAAAAUGAAAAACCUAAAGGAAAGAAAUAGAGAAAAGACAGGAAAAAGGCAGACAAUACCUUCCCAAAACUGUACGAAACUUACCAGCGGUACACAGCGAGAGCUAUAUCUCGCUUAUAGUGAGAUGGUAUGAGCUCUCGCAUGAAGCGUAGCGCUACUAACAACUGGGCCACUAUCCGUUCGUGUUAGAUUAGCAGGUCGCAACCUUAUUAAGAAAAAGAGUUGUAUAUUCACUAGUUUUCCGUGUUUUUUUUGCUUUUGUUUUUGCUUGUUUUUUCAACAGCUUUUCUUCCAUUCUUUCUUGGUAUUACAGGUUUUUUUUAUUUUCUUUGUUUUCUCGAUUUUUUUCACUAGCUUCUUACUUUUUCUUUCUUUUUUCCUUUGGUUUUUUAAUUUAUUUUCUCAUUUCUAUAUUAGUUUCCUUUUGUUUUCUUAUUUCUUUUCCAGUUUUCCUAUACACAUUUUUGUAUAUAUCUAAUACAUUUUUCUAAUACACAUUAAGUAUUUUUUAAUACAAGAUUAAUAUUUACUGAAUACAUAGCAACAUUUUUUCUAUACAUAUUUAAGAUUUUUUAAAAUGCUUCAUUAACAUUUUCAAAUAUCAGAUUAACUUUUUUUAAUACAUGGUCAAAAAAUUCUAUACACAUUCUACAUUUUUUCCAGAUCCUUAAUUAACAUUUUGCAAAUACAAGUUUAACAUUUUUACAGUACAUGGUCAACAUCUUUUCUAUACACAUUUAAGAGUUUUUCAAAUGCUUGAUAAACAUUUCAAAUACAAGUUUAACAUUUUUAUAAUACAUGGUAACCAUUUCUUAUACACAUUUAACAUUUUUAAAUUGCUUGACUAAUUUUUUAAAGUACUUUUUUAACUUUUUUAAGUGCUUGGAUUAACAUUUUAAAAACCAUGAUCACCUUUUUAGACACACAUUAUAUACUACAUGAGAAACAUUUUCUCUAUGUACAUUUAACAUUUUUCAAAUGUUAGGUUAACAUUUUUUUGAAAUAUUUUAUAUAAAGUUUUUUUAAUAUAUUUAUUUAUAUUAUUUUAGGUGUAAAUGAAAGUAAAAAUGAAAAGCAAAUAAAGAAACUAAAAACGAGGCAGUGGCCUCCCCACGCACUGGGCUGGGCCAUACGCUCGCGCGACUGCAAGACGCUUCAGCGAGUGGUUGCCCCACUAGAAGCGAGAUAUAGCCGCGCCCACGCUACGCUGUCUCAUCCACUACUGGGCCAUGGUCCACGCCGCAUCGCUAGAGGUGAGUGCUGUGUGCGCCUUGUAGUAGGCGAGACAUAGCAUUUGCGGAAAAUUACUGCACGAUUGAACGACGAGUUAUCUUUUUUUAGAUGACCUAUAACUUUAUUCAAACUCGAUAAAAUUAUAGGUAAAAGGCUUCGGAUAAUAGGUCCAAGAAAUUAAAAACUAAGUCCUAUAACUAAGAAUUUGAAACUAUUUUCUCAAAAAUUUAAAUUCAUGAUUUUACAAAUUUGAAAAACAUCAUGACUUUUGAAAAUGUUUAAAAGAUUGAUACCAUGGAGAUGACCGUUCUGAGAAAUUUUACUAUUUAUAAAAGUCAUGAACGUUUUCCAAAUUUUUAAAAUUUUCGAAUAUUUUAAAAUUCAUUUAUUUUUCAAAAUUUUAUGUUUUUAAAAUUCAUGAACAUAUUAUUAAAUUUAUGAAGAUUGUUCAAAAGCAAAAAUAUUUAAAAUUACUAUAUAUUUUUUAGUUAAAAAAACAAAUUGUACAAUUUUUAAAAUCCAGGAGUUUUUUUUUCAAUUCAUGAACAUUUGCAUGAGUUAAUCUAUAAAAAAAAAAUAUGAAAUCGGUUUUUAGCUAGCGAGCGGGAGAAGUGGCAAUGGGGAGCGAGUGCGCUAAUGGGUCGUAGUGUGUCGUAUGUUCCACGUGAGCGUACAGUACAAAUGCGGAUGCACAUACAUACGGACAUACAAUCAUCUCUAUGAACGAUCGCACACCCCCUAUCCCUAUGAGCCCCUUCGAAUGACUGUGCUGACAUAUCAUUUUGAGAUUGAGAAAGCCACCACAUACGCCUUCGUAGUUGACGGGAACAUCUCCUCCCACUGAAUGAGCAUCGGAAGCCUGGAAUAAUCUAGAAAAAUGAGCAGACCAAUGUCAAGUCUAGGACUUGAAUCUUGGUAGGCUGGUUUCACUACGAAGAACCUAACCAUCUAAGCUAGGCACGGUUCACAGGAGUGCCUGAAGAUAGGAGCUCCCCGUGAAAUGAUCAAAGGCCUUGAGAUGGUUUCCUGGGCGGCGUUCCAUCGAGCUUCACUCUUUCCUUUGAAAGAUAAAAACACCGACAAGAUGGUCAAGUACUUGGUGUGCUAGUUCCAAGCAUGUGAUGUGUAUUAUCUAGAAGUACAAAACUACCAUUCUCUCUAGUUGUUGAAAUAUUCCUAAAUCUCUUAGGUUUCUUUUAGAAAAAAGUAUAUGCUUCUACUAGAAAUUAAAAAGGAAUAUGUCGAUAUCAAGAUGAUAUCAAUUACACCCCGGCCUCUGCAAAAACACGGUGUCAAAGUUAUUCAAGACAUCGAAGCUGCGACAACUUAAUUAUUUUUUAAACAAAAUAAAAAAAGAACGAUAAUACACGGCGAGCAGCAACAUCGAGCGAGUGAGAGAAGCGGACGAGGGGUUGUAGCCCUUAUAUCAUAUCAUGCCUAUCCACUAAACUCCUUUGAUACCAGCAAGAAUUUUGUUGUUACUUUCUCUUCAAAUGCGCCAACCGACAAUCUAUCGAUCGAGAAUAGGAGAAUGCUUCUCUUGAUUUUUCCUUCUAUAUUUGUACAGUGUACAACUCUCUGUUUAUGAGUAUUGGGGUUUUUCCUCUCUUAGUGAAUGUAACGCAAGAAAGAAGGCAGCGCUGCUGCAUUUUGCUUAAAUUCACUAGAUAUGUGGGUUGGGUGGGUCAAUGCUAGGUCUAACCGCCAAGUUAUUUAACUUCACGCAUCUUACCUAUCCAUAUUUCUACGUUGAUGAGGUACGUAGAAAAUAGUAAAAAGGAGAUGAAAGGUUGACACAUGGUUAGCAAAAGAAAAGCGUGAGCAGUCCAACCAUGCAUGCUAAUCAACGGGAACAUACGCCGGGCUGGAACCCAUGCCCUACUGCUACAAUGAAAAUAAUUAGUGAGGGCCGGAGUGAAGUGUAGAAAAGGCCAUGGUGCAUGCAUGCUGUGGGAAACGGAUGGGGGGUCAUUUUCGUGUGCACCACUGGUCCUUGUGACAAGAGGAUACCCGUAGCUAGAGCUGGCCCUCUCUACUUACGUUAAACCACUACUAUCUUUAUCAUAUGUAUGUUUGUAUGCAUGUCGGUCUGUACCUACCGGCAACUGCUCAGCACGCCACACAACCAUACAAUACAGAUCACAUCUAUAUAUACAUCUUAAGUAUAUAUGGGUGCCCUACAUAGACGUGUGGUCUGGUGUGAGCAAGGGACAAGGCAACUAACAGCAUUUUCUGUUUGCAGCAGGGUGCAACUAAUAGAGUUGAAAUACUAUUACUGGAUAUGUUGUUGUGCCGAUCCACACACCCACCGACGGCACUGGUUUACAGGGAUUGUGGCACACGCGUCCGGGUCUGAUUGGCUCCUCCACCCUAUAAAACCACACCGUAUGUGUCUCCACUUCUCCACACAGAGCACACCCAUCCACCAUCCAUCCAUCCAGGCUAGAAGCAGCGGCGAAACAAGUGCGCCCCUAGCUGCGAGCACAAGGGGCAGGCAGCAAUGGCGAGGCAUCGCCUCCUUGCCGUGCUCAUGCUCCUCGUCGGGGUAGUGGCAGCCUCCACUUUCCACCAAGCGGCCGCCGCUGGCCGGGGCCUUGCUGCCGUCGAGAAGUUUGCGGACCUGGAGCCAAAGCCAAAACCUAAACAAGAGGCAAUGCCCAAACCAAUGCCGAAGCCUGAACCCAAGCCGAUGCCAAAGCCCGAGCCCAAGCCCAAGCCCAAGCCGAUGCCUAAACCUGAACCCAAGCCAGAGCCCAAGCCCAAGCCGAUGCCCAAACCUGAACCCAAGCCAGAGCCCAAGCAUAAACCAAUGCCUAAGCCAGAGCCUAAGCCGGAACCUAUGCCUAAGCCGGAGCCCAAGCCUAAACCUGACCCGAAACUAGAGCCACCACCAAAGCACAAGCCGCCAACAGCUUACAAUUGAUGGGAUACUAUAUAUGACAACAGAAAGAUCAAGGAGAUCAUGGCCGGGGCCACAAUCGCGAUAUUUCUGGAAUAAGUAGUGUAGUAACAAUGUCAUUCUAUCCGGCUAGCUCGAUAGCGAUGCAUCUUUCUGUAUUCUAUGUAUUUCGUUACAUUUAUAAAGUUUCUGUUCCAUGCAUCCAUGAUGAGUAUUACUACUUUGUAAUUGUUAUUUGCUUGUUGGUGUAAGUUCAAUUUUGUACGUGACUCGUUGUUCUAUUUGUGUAUCGCAUGAAUGAGUUAUUUUGUCUAGAGGACCGCAGUCUAUGUUGUUUUUCUCCAUGGGAUGCAGUAUAACAUUUAUUUGGAGAGUAUUGCACUGGAGCAAGCGAUAUUCUUUAUAUAUGUGACAAGUAACCUUAUGAAAAUUUUGGAAGAUUUUAACAAAGGUAGAAAGGUGGCUCCUUUGUAAAAUCAAGAAUAUGUGGUUUAGUCUCUUAUAAGGUGGGGCCCAUUGUCCGUUCAAUCAAGGCCAAGGCAUGUCAUAAUUUUAGCCAAACACUCAGCGCAAACUAAAAAGAGACGGGAAACCAGGAUCCUGAGACCGUUUUUAUGUUCGUACUCAUGGGACACAAUCCAUAAUUCAUUUUGCAUUUUUCUUCAAGUUUAUGACACUUGUUUGGAAUUGUCUCGAGUGUGUAAUGUAUGAAAAGAAAUUAACCAAUUGAAUGGUUUUAUAAGCUAUCCUCAUUUUACUGGAAGGGUGUUUAUAUGUCUCAACAUGAGACCCCAUAUGUCAUGGAGCGGGAUUGGUGAUGCUUCAGGCCUUACAUUCAGUCGUGAUGUUUGAAGUCCAAAAAAGUUAAUUUAAUACUUCACUAAAUGUCGCUCUGGUGUUUUUCGAAAAAAAAUAAUUUAUUACUUCAAUUGGCUCGUCAGUCAAACCGGUUGAAUGUAACUUGUGCUACCGUCUCCCCACAACUGCAUACAAGGACCAUAGGCGCCUAAUCAUCUGCACAUUGUAGAGAGCACCAAGUAAAGAUACAUCAUGUGGCUUGGAAGAUAACUUGCAACAAAUUUGAUUAGUUGUAUGGUUAAAAUACAAUCAUUAUGGCAAUACAAUAUUGGCCAUAAUAAGGCAGACAUGCGAACGCGCAUAUGAGCCUAGGUGGUUACAACCUUUCAAAUGAUGUGUAGAAAAACGUUCUACUUUGGUUGUGUUGUCAUAGCACUGUUGCAUACCAUGUGUGAGAUUCUUGUUUGAUUUCAGCUAUAGUUUAUCCCUUUUUGUUACAACUUUCACUUCGUUUGAAGCCUGCAGUUGUAGCCUCCCCUUCGUUCGAUGGGGAAUCAAUUGCCCCAAAGCCACUACCCUGACAUCACACACCCACAUCAAUGAAGCCACCUCCACCACCCCACAAUCCAAAGACACACAUAUCUGCCAAGGAAAGGUUUAAGGCUCCCGGCUAGCAUGAACGGUGGAGAAAUAUUUCUGGAAAAAGGGAUAGAAUCCCCAUGCCCCGGCCCCACGACAUUACGUGAACAUCGUCCGUUGUCUCCUUUGUUGUCAGAUAAAUACUUUUUUUUUAAAUGCGAAAAUACACCCAAAGGGCAUCUUAUAAGUAACAUUUAUCAAGGGAAACUGUGGACAGUACAAUGGAAAGAUAACAAGAUACAACUUGACUUGCAAAAAAUAAAACGUACUUCAAAAAUCAUACUGGAUGUCUUCUUCAUUCCCUCGAGGGGAGCAUGAAGAAUGCACACAACCAGUAGUAAGGGAAAGAGACACUUGCAAAAACAUCCACACCAAACCAGGCUUUGAAUACCACAAUAACCACUUGCCGCUAGAAACAAGAUCUAGUAACCAAUGAUGAAAUGUCGGUUGGGGCAUCACCCUACACAACGCAAACUUGCAAUCCUUCACGACCAAUUCAAUGGGUUGGAGAAACCGUACCCGAUGUAUACUUGUGUCUCUUGAGCAAGCAAUACACAUGAUUCAUUGCAUUGGUCAAUCAUGUUUGUGGUUCUUGAGAUGGCUACGUGAGAAUUAAUCAUUUUUGGUUUUGAUGUACUUCUCCGCGUGGUAGCUGGAUUUACAUAAAGCAAAAAGGUUAACAAUUAAAACUAAUCACAAAGGCGGACCUGAGAUGGCUCAUUGAUGACCUAAAGCGCAUGGAUCACCAUUGUACCAUUUGUGGUAGUAUUGAGCAAAUAUUAUAACACUAGUAGAAAACAGGGCUUUGGUCCAGGCCGGGUCAGCCCAUUAGUCCCGGUUCAGUCCAGAACCGGGACCAAUGUGGGCAUUGGUCCCAGUUCGUGAGCCCAGGGGGCCGGCCGGGCCACGUGGGCCAUUGGUCCCGGUUCAUCUGGACCUUUUGGUCCCGGUUGGUGGGAUGAACCGGGACUAAUGGGCCUCGCUCCUGGCCCACCACCAUUGGUCCCGGUUGGUGGCUUGAACCGGGACCAAAGGCUCCCCUUUAGUCCCGGCUCAUGUCACCAACCGGGAUCAAUGAGGUGCCUAUAUAUACCCCUCGCUCGCGAGCAGAGCACCCCAGUGCUCUGUUUUUCUCUGGCCGGGCUUGGUGGUGCUCUAGCUCACCUCCUAUGCACACAAGGUGUUCGAUGGAAUGCCCGAGCCACACUACUUAAGCUUUCUUCUCUCCAAGCUCGACCUCCAAGCUCCAUUUUCCAUAAUAUUUGUCUAGGUUUAGCGGUCCGUCACGCCCCGUCCCCGUCUUCACCGCCGUCGAUUACCCGCGCCGAGCUCAUCGCCGGCACCACCGUGGUGAGCCUCUUGUUCUUAUCUUCUUUCUGAAAGGAAAAAUAUUCUUACUUGUAUGUUUACAUAGAUACUUGUAUUAUUUUCUUACUUUUAUUAUUGCAUCUUAUAUAGUGCGAUGGUUUUGGUAUCCACCCCCGUCGGCCCUCGUCCUGUCUAUGAUUCGGAUGUGGUAUAUAUAUUAUCUUUAUAACUAUUGGUUCAUUUAUUGUUUAUGAAAAUUAUGCCGACCAACGUGACAUAGAUUUUAUUUAUGUAGGAUGUAUGUGAAUCGGAAAUGCCAACCGACCCUAUUGUCGAGAGGUUAAAUUUAGUUGAAGAAGAAAACAAUUUGUUGAAGGAAAAAAUAAAAAAAAUUGAGGAGGAGAAGAUGAUAUUGGAGUUGCAUGUUGCGGAUGUCGUCGAUGAUCACAAGAUCAAGAUGGAUGCAAUGCGCUUGAAGAUUAGAAAAUAUGCCAUUCAUACCAAGGCUUGGUAUCAUUAUGCCGUUGGAUCAAUUGUUACCUUGGUUGCGAUUAUGAUCGCAUUUGUUUUCGCAUUGAAAUGUUUUACAUAGUUUCAAUGUAUGGUUUAAUUAAUUAGAUGCUCUGGAGAGCUAUAUGUUGUUAGAUGAGAACUAUGUAUGCACUUUGGUUUUAAUGUGAUGAUGAACUUCUAUUAAUUUGGACACUUAAUUAUAUAUAAUGCACGCAGAUGAACCGGCAAUGGAUGUACGGUGACAGACACACCUGCGAGUACAUUAAGGGCGUGCAUGAGUUUCUCGAUGCGGCUGAGGCAAACAAGCAGAAUGGUUUUAUGUGUUGUCCAUGCACUGAAUGUGGGAAUACGAGAUCUUACUCUAACCGGAAAAUCCUUCACUCCCACAUGCUUUACAAGGGUUUCAUGCCACAGUAUAAUGUUUGGACGAGGCACGGAGAAAUACGGGUUAUGAUGGAAGACGGCGAAGAAGAAGAGUACGAUGACAACUAUGUGCCCCAUGAAUACGGUGAUGCUGCAAAGGGGGGAGCUGGUGAAGAUCAAGAGGAACCAGACGAUGUGCCCAAUGAUGCUGCAACGGGUGAAGUUGCUGAAGAUUAAGAGGAACCAGACGAUGUGCCCGAUGAUGAUGAUCUCCACCGGGUCAUUGUCGAUGCAAGGACGCAAUGCGAAAGUCAAAAGGAGAAGCUAAAGUUCGAUCGCAUGUUAGAGGAUCACAAAAAAGGGUUAUACCCCAAUUGCGAAGAUGGCAACACAAAGCUCGGUACCAUACUGGAAUUGCUGCAGUGGAAGGCAGAGAAUGCUGUGGCUGACAAAGGAUUUGAGAAGCUAUUGAAAAUAUUGAAGAAGAAGCUUCCAAAGGAUAACGAAUUGCCCGACAGUACAUACGCAGCAAAGAAGGUCGUAUGCCCUCUAGGAUUGGAGGUGGAGAAGAUACAUGCAUGCCCUAAUGACUGCAUCCUCUACCGCGGUGCAUACAAGGAUCUGAACGCAUGCCCGGUAUGUGGUGCAUUGCGGUAUAAGAUCAGACGAGAUGACCCUGGUGAUGUUGACGGCGAGCCCCCCAGGAAGAGGGUUCCUGCGAAGGUGAUGUGGUAUGCUCCUAUAAUACCACGGUUGAAACGUCUGUUCAGAAACGAAGAGCAUGCCAAGUUGAUGCGAUGGCACAGUGAGAACCGAAAGAAAGAUGGGAAAUUGAGAGCACCCGCUGACGGGUCGCAGUGGAGAAAAAUCGAGAGAAAGUACUGGGAUGAGUUUGCAAAGGACCCAAGGAAUGUAUGGUUUGCUUUAAGCGCGGAUGGCAUUAAUCCUUUCGGGGAGCAGAGCAGCAAUCACAGCACCUGGCCCGUGACUCUAUGUAUGUAUAACCUUCCUCCUUGGAUGUGCAUGAAGCGGAAGUUCAUUAUGAUGCCAGUUCUCAUCCAAGGCCCUAAGCAACCCGGCAAUGAAAUUGAUGUGUACCUAAGGCCAUUAGUUGAAGAACUUUUACAGCUGUGGAAUGGAAACAGUGUACGUACAUGGGAUGAGCACAGACAGGAGGAAUUUAACCUUAAGGCGUUGCUGUUCGUGACCAUCAACGAUUGGCCCGCUCUCAGUAACCUUUCAGGACAGACAAACAAAGGAUACCAUGCAUGCACGCACUGUUUAGAUGACACUGAAAGUAUAUAUGUGGACAAAUGCAGGAAGAAUGUGUACCUGGGCCAUCGUCGAUUUCUUCCGACCAACCAUCAAUGUCGAAAGAAAGGCAAGCAUUUCAAAGGCGAGGCAGAUCACCGGAAGAAGCCCGCCAUGCGUAACGGUGAUCACGUACUUUCUAUGGUCAAUGAUUUACACUACAUAAUCUUUGGAAAGGGUCCCGUUGGACUAGCUGUUCCGAAUGACGCUGAGGGACACGCACCCAUGUGGAAGAAGAAAUCUAUAUUUUGGGACCUACCCUACUGGAAAGACCUAGAGGUCCGCUCUUCAAUCGACGUGAUGCACGUGACGAAGAACCUUUGCGUGAACCUGCUAGGCUUCUUGGGCGUGUAUGGGAAGACAAAAGAUACACCUGAGGCACGGGAGGACCUGCAACGUUUGCACGAAAAAGACGGCAUGCCUCCGAAGCAGUAUAAAGAUCCUGCCAGCUACGCUCUUACGAAAGAAGAGAAAGAAAUCUUCUUUGAAUGCCUGCUCAGUAUGAAGGUCACGACUGGCUUCUCGUCGAAUAUAAAGGGAAUAAUAAAUAUGCCAGAGAAAAAGUUUCAGAACCUAAAGUCUCAUGACUGCCACGUGAUUAUGACGCAACUGCUUCCAGUUGCAUUGAGGGGGCUUCUACCAGAAAACGUCCGAUUAGCCAUUGUGAAGCUAUGUGCAUUCCUCAAUGCAAUCUCUCAGAAGGUGAUCGGUCCAGAAAUCGUACCAAGGCUAAGGAGUGAUGUGGCGCACUGUUUUGUCAGUUUCGAGCUGGUGUUCCCACCAUCCUUCUUCAAUAUCAUGACGCACGUCCUAGUUCAUCUAGUCGACGAGAUUGUCAUCCUGGGGCCCGUAUUUCUACACAAUAUGUUCCCCUUUGAGAGGUUCAUGGGAGUCCUAAAGAAAUAUGUCUGUGCUAGGCCAGAAGGAAGCAUCUCCAUGGGCCAUCAAACAGAGGAUGUUAUCGGGUUUUGUGUUGACUUCAUUCCUGGCCUUAAGAAGAUAGGUCUCCCUAAAUCGCGGUAUGAGGGGAGACUGACUGGAAAAGGCACUCUUGGAAGAGACUCAAUAAUAUGCAGGGACGAAUAUUCUUGGUCUCAAGCACACUACACAGUUCUACAGAACUCUACCUUGGUGACCCCGUAUGUCGAUGAACACAAGAACAGUCUGCGUUCCAAACACCCGGAGCAGUGCGACGACUGGAUUACAUGUGAACACAUCAGGACUUUCAGCAGUUGGUUGGAAACACGUCUCAGAGGUGACAACACUAUUUGUGAUGAGUUGUACUUGUUGUCCAGGGGACCAUCUUUGACUGUAUUGACUUACAAAGGAUAUGAGAUAAAUGGGAAUACAUUUUACACGAUCGUCCAAGAUCAAAAGAGCACCAACCAAAACAGCGGUGUCCGCUUUGAUGCAGCAACCGAGAGCGGAAAGGACACAUAUUAUGGUUACAAAGUGGACAUAUGGGAACUUGACUACGGACCUGAUUUUAAGGUCCCUUUGUUUAAGUGCAAAUGGGUCAAUCUGUCAGGCGGCGUGGUACAGGUAGACCCAUAGUACGGAAUGACAACAGUGGAUCUGAAAAAUCUUGGAUACACUGACGAACCGUUCGUCCUAGCCAAUGAUGUGGCACAGGUUAUCUAUGUGAAGGACAUGUCUACCAAACUGAGAAAAAGAAAAGAUAAGGAAGCGAAUACAUCAUACGAUGAGCCAAAGCGCCACAUAGUUCUUUCAGGAAAAAGGGACAUCCUAGGAGUGGAUGGCAAGACAAACAUGUCUGAAGAUUAUGAAAAGUUUCAUGAAAUUCCUCCCUUCAAUGUCAAGGCUGACCCAAGCAUCCUGAUAAACAAUGAAGAUUAUCCAUGGUUACGGUGCAAUAAGCAAAUGACACAAGCGAAGAAAAAGUGAAGACUUUCUCCCGCAACUAUUAUGAUGAUACCAUGCCAACUUUGUAACACACGAACAUGCUACCAUUGUCCGUUUUGUACAUGCACAUGCUAUGUGGGUGAAAUUAUGAUACCAUGCCAACUUUCAACUUUUUCAGAGUUCAUUUGAAAUGCUUUCAUGUCUUAUGGUUCGGCCCUCGUAAUACCAUGACCAUUAGUCCCUGGCCCAUGCCAACUUUCAACUUUCAACUUUCUAAAACUAAUGGCACUAACAGAAAGUUUAUAAUUUUGCUCCUCGCCCCUGGCCCAUGACCAUUAGUCCCGGUUUGUGCCACAAACCGGGACUAAAAGGUUGGUCCUCGUUGCGGGCAGAGUUUAGUCCCACCUCACCAACCGAAGGGGGCUCACACCGGUUUAUAAGCCCUUCCCUCUCUGCAUUGUUGAGCUCCUCUCAAAGUGAAAAUAGAUGCCCUAAUAGAGAAAAGUUUAACCUAAAUUCAUAGUGAAUUUCUCUGAAAUUCAUAGAAAUUUACUAGGAAUUUAGGUUGAAUUUUCUCUAUAAGCGCAUCUAUUCUCAUUUUUUAUUAAGUUAAUCACAAACUUGUGAUUCAAACAAUUUUCAAAGAAUUCAAAUUUUAACUAUUCAAAUUUGAAAACUAAUGGCACUAACAGAAAGUUUAUAAUUUUUCUAAAACUAAUGGCACUAACAGAAAUUUUAUAAUUUUGCUAACCUAAAAGCAAACAGAAUUAAAAAUUAAAGCAAAAAACAAAAGAAAAUAAAUAAUGCAAAAAACAAAUCAAAAAAACAGGAAAAAACUAUUUUUAUAGUAAAGUUAAUCACAAAAUAAAAUAAAUAAAGCAACAAAGAAAACAAAAAAACAAAAAAAGUGUUUUGAAAUUUGAAAACUAAUGGCACUNNNNNNNNNNNNNNNNNNNNNNNNNNNNNNNNNNNNNNNNNNNNNNNNNNNNNNNNNNNNNNNNNNNNNNNNNNNNNNNNNNNNNNNNNNNNNNNNNNNNNNNNNNNNNNNNNNNNNNNNNNNNNNNNNNNNNNNNNNNNNNNNNNNNNNNNNNNNNNNNNNNNNNNNNNNNNNNNNNNNNNNNNNNNNNNNNNNNNNNNNNNNNNNNNNNNNNNNNNNNNNNNNNNNNNNNNNNNNNNNNNNNNNNNNNNNNNNNNNNNNNNNNNNNNNNNNNNNNNNNNNNNNNNNNNNNNNNNNNNNNNNNNNNNNNNNNNNNNNNNNNNNNNNNNNNNNNNNNNNNNNNNNNNNNNNNNNNNNNNNNNNNNNNNNNNNNNNNNNNNNNNNNNNNNNNNNNNNNNNNNNNNNNNNNNNNNNNNNNNNNNNNNNNNNNNNNNNNNNNGCAGAAAACAAAACAAAAAAACUGGAAAAAUAGCAACAAUAAGUAUUUUGUUGUAAGUAGAAACAAAAUAAAAUAAAUAAAGCAACAAAGAAAACAAAAAACAAAAAAAAGUGUUUUCAAAUUUGAAAACUAAUGGCAUUAACAAAAAGUUUAUAAUUUUUCUAAAACUAAAAGUAUAAAGAAUUAAAAAAUAAAGCAAAAAAUAAAAGAAAAUAAAUAAAGCAACAAAAAAACAAAAAAAUGCCACCUACUGGGCCCCCACGACCUGAAUACGACUAGAAACCCAUCCAAGGGCCAGGAUUCAGGCCCGCAGGAGGCCUAGUAGGCCCACAAGCAUAGCAGUGACAAUUAGGCCCGUAAGCCUGCAAUGGAGAGGAGCUCGAGAGGGGUGCGGCAGUGGGGCUUAUAAACCAGUGUGCACCCCUCUCAACUAGCGAGGUGGGUCUAAACUUUCGACGCAGCAGCCGCACAAGGCCUUUGGUCCCGGUUGGUGGCACCAACCGGGACUAAAGGGGGGCAUUGGUCACGGUUGGUGACACGAACCGUGAUCAAUGCCCCCCUUUAGUCCCGAUUGGUUCUACCAACCGGGACCAAAGGCCGCCGCUUCCCACCCUUUGGGCUGCUGAAAAUAGGCCUUUGGUCCCGGUUGGUGGCACCAACCGGGACUAAAGGGGGGCAUUGGUCACGGUUUGUGCCACGAACCGUGACCAAUGCCUUUGUUGUAUAACUAGCACUUGUGAAAAUUUCCAUUCAGUUCGUCUUCCCCGCCCGACGCCGCCAGGCUGCCCCUCUUCUUCUCCUCUUUCUUUUCUCCUCUAUUCCUUUCUUCUUCUCCUCUUUUUUUUCUUCUUUUUUUUCUUCGACACGUGGGGGGGGGGUCGAGAACGUCGGGCAUUCAUGAGAGAGGCGAGGAAGAAGGGGAAGAAGAGGGAGAAGAAAAGGAGAGGAAGAAGAGGAAGUCUUCUCCUCUAUUCUUUCUUCUCUUCUUUUUUCUUCUUCUUCUUCCUAUAUGUAUUAGUUUUUUUAUUUAGGUUGUUAAUUAGUAGAUAUUAAUUUUGUUCAUAUAUGUAUGGAUGCAUGUGAUAUGUAUGUAUGUAUGUAUGUAUCAGGUAUGUCGUUGUCGAUAUACCCCCUACCCGAUAACUUCGACAUGAGGGGGUCAAGAGGGGGUCUAGGGUCGCCGAGGGGUCGAGGGUCGUCGAACAUGAGAGGAAGAAGAGGAUAAAAAAAGAAGAGGAAGAAGAAAUAAAAAGAGGAGAAGAAAGAAUAGAGGAGUUCUUCUCCUCUAUUCUUUCUUCUCCUCUUUUUUUUUCUUCUUCUUCCUCUUUAUUUUAUCAGGAACGAGGGUCGUCGAGGGUCGCCGAGCGGUAGAGGAGAAACCCUAAAUAGAAAGUAUCGUCGGUGUGAGAUACAUGUACCGUCGGUCUCGGACACUACAUCCACGUCCCACAAGUGGCGCGGGCUUCGACGCCCACGUCACUUGUGGGACGUGGAUGUAGUGUCCGACACCGACGGCCACAUGUAUCUCACACCACGAUACUUGCUAUUUAGGGUUUCCUCUACCAUUCGGCGACCCUGACCCUCGACGACCCUCGUAUCCGAUAAAAUAAAGAGGAAGAAGAAGAAAAAAAAGAGAAGAAGAAGAAAAAAAGAGGACAAGAAAGAUUUCUUCUUCUCUUUUUUUUUCUUCUUCUUCCUCUUCUUCUCUUUUUCUUCUUCUUCUUCCUCUUUAUUUUAUCGGGAACGAGGGUCGUCGAGGGUCACCGAGCGGUAGAGGAGAAACCCUAAAUAGAAAGUAUCGUGGGUGUGAGAUACAUGNNNNNNNNNNNNNNNNNNNNNNNNNNNNNNNNNNNNNNNNNNNNNNNNNNNNNNNNNNNNNNNNNNNNNNNNNNNNNNNNNNNNNNNNNNNNNNNNNNNNNNNNNNNNNNNNNNNNNNNNNNNNNNNNNNNNNNNNNNNNNNNNNNNNNNNNNNNNNNNNNNNNNNNNNNNNNNNNNNNNNNNNNNNNNNNNNNNNNNNNNNNNNNNNNNNNNNNNNNNNNNNNNNNNNNNNNNNNNNNNNNNNNNNNNNNNNNNNNNNNNNNNNNNNNNNNNNNNNNNNNNNNNNNNNNNNNNNNNNNNNNNNNNNNNNNNNNNNNNNNNNNNNNNNNNNNNNNNNNNNNNNNNNNNNNNNNNNNNNNNNNNNNNNNNNNNNNNNNNNNNNNNNNNNNNNNNNNNNNNNNNNNNNNNNNNNNNNNNNNNNNNNNNNNNNNNNNNNNNNNNNNNNNNNNNNNNNNNNNNNNNNNNNNNNNNNNNNNNNNNNNNNNNNNNNNNNNNNNNNNNNNNNNNNNNNNNNNNNNNNNNNNNNNNNNNNNNNNNNNNNNNNNNNNNNNNNNNNNNNNNNNNNNNNNNNNNNNNNNNNNNNNNNNNNNNNNNNNNNNNNNNNNNNNNNNGAGGCCACCCCAAACCCUAGAGAAGCAACAUCGAGGCCACCCCAAACCCUAGAGAAGCAGCAUCGAGGCCACCCCAAACCCUAGAGAAGCAGCGUCGAGGCCACUAAUAUAUCCAUCUGUCAUGUUUGAAUAAUAAUUGCCAUGUUGUCAAUAUUUGUAGAAACUAUGGACACCGCCCGAGACGAAGUACAAGAAGAGUUGUUGGGGGACAUAAUCGCAUGAGGAAGUGAUGCCGUCUGCUCGUUGUUUCUCAACGACACCGAUGGUCUGGAAGCAGCUGGCUAUGAUUAUGAUGGCUCCGGUGACCUAAUGCCGGUGCAAGAAGGAGACCGUGAGGACGGCUCCCGUGACCCAAUGCCGGUGCAAGAAGGAGACCGUGAUGACGUCUCCGGUGACCGAACCGAGUCCGGCAAGGUAUAUAUAUUAGUUAAGCUUCUGUUGACUAGCUAAUUGAUGCAUUCAUUGUUUUGGUAUGUACACAUAUUAAUUAAGUCUUUAUUCUUUUUUCUAGCCCUCCAGAUCAAGCACAACUUCGGUAAAGAUACGAGGCCCGAAGAAAAAGUUAAGCUCGGAUGAAAAGUUUGAGAUCAUAGCAAUCGCGCCCGAUGGCCAACCGAUUGAACCCCUCGGACAAAGAGCGCAUUUGUUGCUCAGUGCGGGGUUUUGGUUAGGGACAAGAUCCCGAUCAGCAUCCAGCAAUGGUUUAAGCCGGCUACAGAAGACCCUGAGGUGUCUUAUGUCAAUGAUAUGCAGAAAAAUGAUCUUUGGACUGAGCUGAAGUCAAAUUUCACCCUACCGCCAGAGGAUAAUCCAGAGAAGCCAGUUAAAGAGCAAUUAAUCAAGUCUUUUGCUCUUAAGAGGAUGGCAGAACUAUUCAGGAGGUGGAAGAAAGAGCUGAAUAAGUUUGUCGAAAAUAAUGAGACACCAGAAUUCAAGGGCGGAUAUGAGAAGAUCAGAGAUCACUGGCCCGCAUUUGUGGCCCACAAGACAUCAGAAAAGAGUAAGAAGAUGUCUGCGACAAACAAGCAAAAUGCUGCGAAGAAGAAGCUGUUGGAAAUAUGCCCUAGAGGCAAUAAUAAAUUAGUUAUUAUUAUUAUUAUAUUUCAUUGUUCAUGAUAAUCGUUUAUUAUCCAUGCUAGAAUUGUAUUGAUAGGAAACUCAGAUACAUGUGUGGAUACAUAGACAACACCAUGUCCCUAGUAAGCCUCUAGUUGACUAGCUCGUUGAUCAAUAGAUGGUUACUGUUUCCUGACCAUGGACAUUGGAUGUCGUUGAUAACGGGAUCACAUCAUUAGGAGAAUGAUGUGAUGGACAAGACCCAAUCCUAAGCCUAGCACAAAGAUCGUGUAGUUCGUAUGCUAAAGCUUUUCUAAUGUCAAGUAUCAUUUCCUUAGACCAUGAGAUUGUGCAACUCCCGGAUACCGUAGGAGUGCUUUGGGUGUGCCAAACGUCACAACGUAACUGGGUGGCUAUAAAGGUACACUACAGGUAUCUCCGAAAGUAUCUGUUGGGUUGGCACGAAUCGAGACUGGGAUUUGUCACUCCGUGUAACGGAGAGGUAUCUCUGGGCCCACUCAGUAGGACAUCAUCAUAAUGUGCACAAUGUGACCAAGGAGUUGAUCACGCGAUGAUGUGUUACAGAACGAGUAAAGAGACUUGCCGGUAACGAGAUUGAACAAGGUAUCGGGAUACCGACGACCGAAUCUCGGGCAAGUAUCGUACCGCUAGACAAAGAGAAUUGUAUACAGGAUUGAUUGAAUCCUUGACAUCGUGGUUCAUCCGAUGAGAUCAUCGUGGAACAUGUGGGAGCCAACAUGGGUAUCCAGAUCCCGCUGUUGGUUAUUGGCCGGAGAGUUGUCUCGGUCAUGUCUGCAUGGUUCCCGAACCCGUAGGGUCUACACACUUAAGGUUCGAUGACGCUAGGGUUAUAGGGAAUAGAUAUACGUGGUUAAUGGAUGUUGUUCGGAGUCCCGGAUGAGAUCCCGGACGUCACGAGGAGUUCCGGAAUGGUCCGGGGGUAAAGAUUUAUAUAUGGGAAGUCCUGUUUUGGUCGCCGGAAAAGUUUCAGGUUUAUCGGUAAUGUACCGGGACCCACCAAGUGGGGCCACCAGCCCCAGAGGGCUGGAUGGGCCAAGUGUGGGAGGGGACCAGCCCCAGGUGGGCUGGUGCGCCCCGCCACAAGGGCCCAAGGCGCCUAGGGUUUGGGGAGGGGGCGCCUCCACCUAGCUUGGGGGGCAAGUGUCCCCUCUCCCCCCUUGGCCGCCACCCUAGAUGGGUUUGGGGCUGCCGCACCCCUUGGGGUGGAAACCCUAAAGGGGGCGCACCGCCUCCCUCUCCCCUAUAUAUACUUGAGGACUUUGGGGCUGCCAACAGAUGAGUUUUGACCUCUCCAUGGCGCAGCCCUGCCUCUCUCCCUCCUCCUCUCCCACGGUGCUUGGCGAAGCCCUGCAGGAUUGCCACGCUCCUCCACCACCACCACGCCGUCGUGCUGCUGCUGGAUGGAGUCUUCCCCAACCUCUCCUUCUCCCCUUGCUGGAUCAAGGCGUAGGAGACGUCACCGGGCUGCACGUGUGUUGAACGCGGAGGUGCCGUCCGUUCGACACUAGGAUCUCCGGUGAUUUGAAUCACGACAAGUACGACUCCAUCAACCCCGUUCACUUGAACGCUUCCGCUUAGAGAUCUACAAGGGUAUGUAGAUGCACUCUCCUUCCCCUCGUUGCUAGAUUACUCCAUAGAUUGAUCUUGGUGUUGCAUAGAAAAUUUUGAAUUUCUGCUACGUUCCCAAAUAGUGGUAUCAGAGCUAGGUCUAUGCGUAGUUUCUAUGCACGAGUAGAACACAAGUUGUUGUGGGCGUCGAUUUUGUCAUUUUGCUUGCCGUUACUAGUCUUAUCUUGAUUCGGCGGCAUCAUGGGAUGAAGCGUCCCGGACCGACCUUACACGUACUCUUAUGUGAGACUGGUUCCACCGACUGACAUGCACUAGUUGCAUAAGGUGGCUAGCGGGUGUCUGUCUCUCCCACUUUAGUCGGAUCGGAUUCGAUGAAAAGGGUCCUUAUGAAGGGUAAAUAGAAAUUGGCAUAUCACGUUGUGGUUUUCGUGUAGGUAAGAAACGUUCUUGCUAGAAAUCUAUAGCAGCCACGUAAAAACUUGCAACAACAAUUAGAGGAUGUCUAACUUGUUUUUGCAGCAAGUGUUUUGUGAUGUGAUAUGGCCAAAAGGAUGUGAUGUAUGAGAUUGAUCAUGUUCUUGUAAUAGGAAUCACGACUUGCAUGUCGAUGAGUAUGACAACCGGCAGGAGCCAUAAGAGUUGUCUUUAUUUAUUUAUGACCUGCGUGUCAACAUAAACGUCAUGUAAUUACUUUACUUUAUUGCUAAAGAGUUAGCCAUAGUAAUAGAAGUAAUAGAUGACGAGACAACUUCAAGAAGACACGAUGAUGGAGAUCAUGAUGAUGGAGAUCAUGGUGUCAUGCCGGUGACAACGAUGAUCAUGGAGCCCCGAAGAUGGAGAUCAAAAGGAGCAAAAUGAUAUUGGCCAUAUCAUGUCACUAUUUGAUUGCAUGUGAUGUUUAUCAUGUUUUACAUCUUAUUUGCUUAGAACGACGGUAGCUUAAAUAAGAUGAUCCCUCUCUAAAAUUUCAAGAAAAGUGUUCCCCCUAACUGUACACCAUUGCGAAGGUUCAUUGUUUCGAAGCACCACGUGAUGAUCGGGUGUGAUAGAUUCUAACGUUCGAAUACAACGGGUGUAAGCCAGAUUUACACAACAAAAACACUUAGGUUGACUUGAUGAGCCUAGCAUGUACAGACAUGGCCUCGGAACACGGAAGACCAAAAGGUUGAGCAUGAGUCGUAUAGAAGAUAUGAUCAACAUGAAGAUGUUCACCGAUGUUGACUAGUCCGUCUCACGUGAUGAUCGGACACGGCCUAGUUGACUCGGAUCAUGUUUCACUUAGAUGACUAGAGGGAUGUCUAUCUGAGUGGGAGUUCAUUAGAUGAACUCAAUUAUCAUGAACAUAGUCUAAAUUGUCUUUGCAAAUAUGUUGUAGAUAAAUAGCUCACGUUGUAGCUCCCUAUUUCAAUACGUUCCUAGAGAAAGAUUAAGUUGAAAGAUAUUGUAAGCAAUGACGCGGACUGGGUCCAUAGUCCGAGGAGUGUCCUCACCGCUACACAGAAAGCUUACAUCUUUGAUGCACCGCUCGAUGUGCAAACCCCUACAACGUCGUCUGUGGAUGUUGUGAACACCUGACAGACACGUCCUGAUGACUACUUGAUAGUUUAGUGCACCAUACUUUACGGCUUAGAAUCGGGAUUCGAAUGAUGUUUUAAAUGCCAUAGAACAUAUGAGAUGUUCCAAGAGCUGAAAUUGGGAUUUCAGGCUCAUGCCUGUGUUGAGAGGUGUGAGACCUCUGACAAGUUCUUUAGCCAACAAGAUGGAGGAGAAUAGCUCAGCUAGUGGGCAUGUGCUCAGAAUGUCUGGGUGCUACAAUCACUUAAAUCAAGUGGGAGUUAAACUUCCAGAUAAGAUAGUGAUUGAUAGAGUUCUCUAGCCACUAUCACUAAGCUACUAGAUCUUCGUGAUGAACUAUGACAUGCAAGGGAUGGAGUUGGUCCCGGAGUUGUUCGCGGUGCUUAAGACCGUAAAGGAUAGAAAUCAAGAAGGAGCAUCAAGUGUUGAUGGUUUAACAAGACCACUGGUUUCAAGAAGGGCAAGGGCUAGAAGGGAAACUUCAUGGAUGGCAAACCAGUUGCCGCUCCAGUGAAGGAACCCAAGGUUGAACCCAAACCCGAGACUAAGUGCUUCUAUUGUAAGGGGAACGGUCACUGGUAGCGGAAUUACCCCAAAUGCAUGGUAGAUAAGAAGGCUGGCAACUUCAACAAAGUAUAUACGUGUUAUUAAUGUGUACCUCGCUAGUACUCCUGGUAGCACCUGGGUAUUGGAUACCGGUUCAGUUACUAUUAUUGGUGACUUGAAGCAAAAGCUACGGACUAAACGGAGACUGGCUGAGGGCGAGGUGACGAUGUGUGUUGGAAGUGUUUCCAAAGUUGAUGAGAUCACCAUCGCACGCUCCAUCUGCCUUCGGGAUUAGUAUUGAACCUAGAUAAAUGUUAUCAGGUGUCUACGUUGAGCAUGAAUAUGAUUAGAUCAUGUUCAUUGCAAUACGGUCAUUCAUUUAAGUUAGAGAAUAAUGGUUAUUCUGUUUACAUGAAUGAUACCUUUCAUGGUCAUGCACCCUAUGUGAAUGGUUCAUUGAAUCUCGGUCGUGGUAAUACACAUGUUCACGCCAAAAGAUGUAGAGUUAAUAAUGAUAGUACCACUUUCUCGUAGCACUGCCACUUAGGUCAUAUUGGCGUAAGAUGCAUGAAGAAACUCCAUGUCAAUGGAUGUUUGGAGUCACUUGAUUUUGAAUCACUUGACACAUGCGAGCCAUGCCUCAUGGGCAGGAUGACUAAGAUCCCGUUUUCAGGUACAAUGAAAUGGGCAAGUGACUUGUUGGAAAUCAUACAUGCUGAUGCGUGUGAUCCAAUAAGAAUUGAAGCAUGCGGUGGAUAUCGCUAUUUUCUCAUCUUCACUGAUGAUUUGAGUAGAUAUAGGUAUAUUUACUUAAUGAAGCACAAGUCUGAAAUGUUUGAAAAGUUCAAGCGAUUUCAGAGUGAAGUUAAGAAUCAUCAUAACAAAAAGAUCAUGUUCCUACGAUCUGAUCAAAAGGGGAUUUUCUGAGUUAUGAGUUUGGCAAUCACUUAAGACAUUGUGGAAUUGUUUCACAGUUGAAGCCACCUAGAACACCACAGAGUAAUGGUGUGUCCAGACGUCGUAAUCGAACCUUAUGAGAUAUGGUGCGAUCUAUGAUGUCUCUUACCGAUCUACCGUUUUCAUUUUGAGGUUAUGCAUUAGAGACAGCUGCAUUCACUUUAGAUAGGACACCAUCUAAGUCCAUUGAGACGACAUCGUAUGAACAUUGGUUUGGCAAGAAACCAAAGUUGUCGUUUCUUAAUGUUUGGGGCUGCGAUGCUUAAGGCUUCAGCCAGAGAAGCUCGAACCCAAAGCGGACAAACACAUCUUCAUAGGAUACCCAAAGGUGAUAGUUGGGUAUACCUUCUAUCUCAGAUCCGAGGGCAAAUUGUUUGUCGCUAAGAACGGGUCCUUUCUCGAGAAGGAGUUUCUCUCGAAAGAAUUGAGUGGGAGGAAGAUAGAACUUGAUGAGGUUGUUGAACCUUUAUUUCAACCAGAGAAUGAUGCAACACAGAAAGAUAUUUUCUGUGGCACCUACGUCUAUUGAAUAGGAAGUUAAUGAUAGUGAUCAUGAAGCUUCGGAUCAAGUUGCUAUCGAACCUCGUAGGUCGACAAGGAUAUGUACUACUCCUAAGUGGUACGGUAAUCCUGUCUUAGAUAUCAUGUUGUUAGACAACAAUGAACCUACGAGCUAUGGAGAAGCGAUGGUGGGCCCGUAUUCCGACAAAUGGUUAGAAGCCAUGAAAUCUGAGAUAGGAUCCAUAUAUCAGAACAAAGUAUGGACUUUGGUGGACUUGCCCGAUGAUCGGCAAGCCAUUGAGAUAAAUGGAUCUUUAAGAAGAAGACGAACGUGGGCCGUAAUGUUACCGUCUAUGAAGCUCGACUUGUGGGAAAGAGCCUUUUCACAAGUUCAAGGAGUUGACUACGAUGAGAAUUUCUCACCCGUAGCGAUGCUUAAGUCCGUCGGAAUCAUGUUAGCAUUAGCUGUAUUUUUCAAUUAUGAAAUCUAACAGAUGGAUGUCAAAGCAAGUUUUCUUACCAGUUUUCGUAAGAAAGAGUUGUAUGUGAUACAAUCAAAGUUUUGUCGAUCCUAAGGAUGCUAAAAGGUAUGCUGGCUCCAGCAAUCCUUCUAUGGACUAGAGCAAGCAUCUCAGAAUCGGAAUAUAUGUUUUGAUGGAGUGAUCAAAGCUUUUAGGUUUAUACAAUGUUUGCUAGAAACUUGUAUUUACAAGAAAGUGAGUGGGAGCACUACAAUAUUUCUGAUAAGUAUAUGUGGAUGACAUAUUGUUGAUCUGAAAUAAUGUAGAAUUUCUGGAAAGCAUAAACGGUUGUUUGAAGAGUGAUUUUCAAAGGAAGACCUGGAUAAAGCUGCUUACAUAUUGGGCAUCAAGAUCUAUAGAUAGAUCAAGACGCCUGAUGAUACUUUCAAAGAACGCACACCUUGACAUGUUUUCGAAGGAGUUCAAAAUAGAUCAGUCAAAGAAGGGGUUCUUACCUGAGUUGUAAGGUCUGAAGUUGAGUAAGACUCAAAGAUUGACCACGGCAGAAGAAAGAGGAAGGACGAAGGUCGUCCCCUAUGCUCUUGUCAUAGGCUCUAUACGGUAUGCCAUGCUGAGUACCACACCUGAUGUGUGCCUUGCCACAUGUCUGGCAAGAGGGUACAAAGGUGAUCUAGGAGUAGAUCACUAGAUAGCGGUCAAAAUUAUCCUUAGAGGAAUAAGGAAAUGUUUCUUGGUUAUGGAGGUGAUAAAGAGUUCGACGUAAAGAGUUACGUCGAUGCAAGCUUAACACCUAUCCGGAUAGCUCUGAGUAGAGAUACCGAAUACGUAUAAUGGAGCAACAAUUUGGAAUAGCUCCAAGUGGAACGUGGUAGCAGCAUCUACGAUAUGACAUAAAGUUUUGCGAAAUACAUAGGGAUCUGAAUAUGGCAAGACCCGUUGACUACAACCUCCCUCACAAGCAUAACAUGAUCAAACACAGAACUCUUUGAGCGUUUAUCACAUAGUGAUGUGAAUUAGAUCAUUGAGUCUAGUAGACUCUUGGAUGUUGGUCACAUGGCGAUGUGACCUGUGAGUGUUAAUCACAUGGCGAUGUGAACUAGAUUAUUGACUCUAGUGCAAGUGGGAGACUGUUGGAAAUAUGCCCUAGAGGCAAUAAUAAAUUAGUUAUUAUUAUUAUAUUUCAUUGUUCAUGAUAAUCGUUUAUUAUCCAUGCUAGAAUUGUAUUGAUAGGAAACUCAGAUACAUGUGUGGAUACAUAGACAACACCAUGUCCCUAGUAAGCCUCUAGUUGACUAGCUCAUUGAUCAAUAGAUGGUUACUGUUUCCUGACCCAUGGACAUUGGAUGUCGUUGAUAACGGGAUCACAUCAUUAGGAGAAUGAUGUGAUGGACAAGACCCAAUCCUAAGCCUAGCACAAAGAUCGUGUAGUUCGUAUGCUAAAGCUUUUCUAAUGUCAAGUAUCAUUUCCUUAGACCAUGAGAUUGUGCAACUCCCGGAUACCGUAGGAGUGCUUUGGGUGUGCCAAACGUCGCAACGUAACUGGGUGGCUAUAAAGGUACACUACAGGUAUCUCUGAAAGUCUCUGUUGGGUUGGCACUAAUCGAGACUGGGGUUUGUCACUCCAUGUAACGGAGAGGUAUCUCUGGGCCCACUCGGUAGGACAUCAUCAUAAUGUGCACAAUGUGACCAAGGAGUUGAUCACGGGAUGAUGUGUUAUGGAACGAGUAAAUAGACUUGCCGGUAAUGAGAUUGAACAAGGUAUCGGGAUACCGACGAUCGAAUCUCGGGCAAGUAUCGUACCGCUAGACAAAGGGAAUUGUAUACAGGAUUGAUUGAAUCCUUGACAUCGUGGUUCAUCCAAUGAGAUCAUCGUGGAAUAUGUGGGAGCCAACAUGGGUAUCUAGAUCCCGCUGUUGGUUAUUGGCCGGAGAGUUGUCUCGGUCAUGUCUGCAUGGUUCCCGAACCCGUAGGGUCUACACACUUAAGGUUCGAUGACGCUAGGGUUAUAGGGAAUAGAUAUACGUGGUUACCGAAUGUUGUUCGGAGUCCCGGAUGAUAUCCCGGACGUCACGAGGAGUUCCGGAAUGGUCCGGAGGUAAAGAUUUAUAUAUGGGAAGUCCUGUUUUGGUCGCCGGAAAAGUUUCCGGUUUUAUCGGUAAUGUACCGGGACCACCGGGAGGGUCCCGGUGGUCCACCAAGUGGGGCCACCAGCCCCGAAGGGCUGCAUGGGCCAACUGUGGGAGGGGACCAGCCCCAGGUGGGCUGGUGCACCCCCCCACAAGGGCCCAAGGCGCCUAGGGUUUGGGGAGGGGCGCCUCCACCUAGCUUGGGGGGCAAGUUUCCCCUCUCCCCCCUUGGCCACCACCCUAGAUGGGUUUGGGGCUGCCGCACCCCUUGGGGUGGAAACCCUAAAGGGGGCGCACCCCCCUCCCUCUCCCCUAUAUAUACUUAGGACUUUGGGGCUGCCAACAGAUGAGUUUGACCUCUCCAUGGCGCAGCCCUGCCUCUCUCCCUCCUCCUCUCCCGCGGUGCUUGGUGAAGCCCUGCAGGAUUGCCACGCUCCUCCACCACCACCACGUCGUUGUGCUGCUACUGGAUGGAGUCUUCCCCAACCUCUCCUUCUCCCCUUGAUGGAUCAAGGCGUAGGAGACGUCAUCGGGAUGCACGUGUGUUGAACGCGGAGGUGCCAUCCGUUCAGCACUAGGAUCUCCGGUGAUUUGAAUCACGACGAGUAUGACUCCAUCAACCCCGUUCACUUGAACGCUUCCGCUUAGCGAUCUACAAGGGUAUGUAGAUGCACUCUCCUUCCCCUCGUUGCUAGAUUACUCCAUAGAUUGAUCUUGGUGUUGCGUAGAAAAUUUUGAAUUUCUGCUACGUUCUCCAACAGAAGCAUCACCAUCACACGGGGUCAGGUGGCUACCUCGUAGCCCGGCCUAAGUGGGCCAAGACUGAGAAUGAUCUGGUUGAUAAAGGGAUCGAACCAGAGACAAUUAACUGGCCAGACCAUUACCGGACUUGGUUCUUCGGGGCUGGCGGAACCUUGGACCCUGUAACAGGGAAGUGCAUUUGGACGAACGAUCAAAUGGACAUACCAGUCAGGAAGCUUCAGCAGUAUAUCGAAGCAGCGCAGCAAGGGACGUUCUUUCCAGACAGAGAGAACGACGAGCUCACAAUGGCCCUUGGGAAUCCUGAGCACUCUGGAUGGACACGAGGCACGCCAGGCUCCAUUCCGUGGAAGGUUGGGUUUCCGAACACAGGCGGUUAUAAAUCCCAUGAGAGGAGGAAAAAAUUGCAGCAGACCCAAAUGCAGGCGCUGCAAGCAAGGGUACAAGCGAUAGAGGAACGAGAAGCAAAUCGCAGCAAACGUACUGCCGAAGCUUCCCCCGAAGCUACCCUGCCAUCUCAGCGGAGAAGCAGCGUGGCUUCCACCGAGCUGCUUCAGCCGGAGCAUGCCUUGACGGCUCCUGCUAGCUAUCCCGUGGAUGCUAUCACGGAGUCUCAAAAUUGCCACCUUAUGAUGUAAUGGAUGAAUUUGAAGGUCAAGGCGGCUGUUGGCUCUGUUUAUCCUACUGAACCCGGCGCAACUUUUCACUACUGACCGAUUCCGAA